Molecule: ribosomal RNA, 119 nt
Filed under: Jaculus jaculus (lesser Egyptian jerboa)
Lineage: Eukaryota; Metazoa; Chordata; Mammalia; Rodentia; Dipodidae
Source: RNAcentral
UCAUGGCCAUGCUACCCAGAACACCCUGAUUUCAUCUGAUCUUGGAAGCUAAGCAGGGUCAGGCCUGGUUAGUCCUUGGAUGGGAGAUAUCUUUCAGGAUAUUGUAGGUACCUCAUCAG